RNAcentral lists this ribosomal RNA (390 nucleotides) under Triticum aestivum (bread wheat). Its description in RNAcentral is "partial small subunit ribosomal RNA". The record is from RNAcentral. Lineage: Eukaryota; Viridiplantae; Streptophyta; Magnoliopsida; Poales; Poaceae.
AUGGCGUCGUACCGCUGCUGGACAAGCCUUCGUUGGUCGUCGCCGGCAGAGCCGCACGCUGCUGCCGAUUCAGUCCACGUAAUCACCGCCCUUAAAUUGAUUCUUGCUGCAGAUGAAUCGAGCCCCGCGCCCCGAUGUCCACCAAAGCUCCCGAUGAGUCACAUGCGCCACCAUCGGCUUCCUCCUCCAACAUCACCUGCACCAAAGGAAGCCUUUUUCAGAAGAACAUCCCUGCUCCGUCUCCAGGCACCUUCUCUAUGGCCGCAAGUUCCGCAAGUUUCUCUCACCUACGAUUCCUCUCUAACUGAAGCACGAUCCGCAAGAAUGUGUCAACAUCCGAUGGAUCAUGAUGAUCUCUCUGAUCCGGUUGGUUUUGAUCGGAAACGAUAG